RNAcentral lists this transfer RNA (70 nucleotides) under Labracinus cyclophthalmus (fire-tail devil). RNAcentral describes it as "tRNA-Tyr". It matches the Rfam family "tRNA". From Rfam's summary of the family: Transfer RNA (tRNA) molecules are approximately 80 nucleotides in length. Their secondary structure includes four short double-helical elements and three loops (D, anti-codon, and T loops). Lineage: Eukaryota; Metazoa; Chordata; Actinopteri; Pseudochromidae. The record is from RNAcentral.
GGUAGAAUGGCUGAGUACUAAGCGGUGGUUUGUAGCCCCAAAGACAGAGGUUUGAGUCCUCUUUCUACCA